Non-coding RNA from Acanthosepion pharaonis, 100 nucleotides. The record is from the annotation of a GenBank genome assembly. Lineage: Eukaryota; Metazoa; Mollusca; Cephalopoda; Sepiida; Sepiidae.
GCUAUAUCAUGUUGAAACACCAAUUCUCAAACGAUCACUGAAGUUAAGCAACAUCAAGCCUGGUCAGUACCUAGAUGGGUGACCAUUUGAGAAUACCAGC